GGCUCAGAUUGAACGCUGGCGGAAUGCUUUACACAUGCAAGUCGAACGGUAGAGGGGGCAACCCCUUGAGAGUGGCGAACGGGUGAGUAAUAUAUCGGAACGUGCCCAGUCGUGGGGGAUAACGUAGCGAAAGCUACGCUAAUACCGCAUACGAUCUACGGAUGAAAGCGGGGGAUCGCAAGACCUCGCGCGAUUGGAGCGGCCGAUAUCAGAUUAGGUAGUUGGUGAGGUAAAGGCUCACCAAGCCGACGAUCUGUAGCUGGUCUGAGAGGACGACCAGCCACACUGGGACUGAGACACGGCCCAGACUCCUACGGGAGGCAGCAGUGGGGAAUUUUGGACAAUGGGCGCAAGCCUGAUCCAGCAAUGCCGCGUGCAGGAUGAAGGCCUUCGGGUUGUAAACUGCUUUUGUACGGAACGAAACGGUGAGCUCUAAUACAGUUUGCUAAUGACGGUACCGUAAGAAUAAGCACCGGCUAACUACGUG
RNAcentral lists this ribosomal RNA (487 nucleotides) under uncultured bacterium. RNAcentral's name for it is "bacterial SSU rRNA". It matches the Rfam family "Bacterial small subunit ribosomal RNA", at positions 21 to 507 of the family's 1533-position model. The record is from RNAcentral.